RNAcentral lists this ribosomal RNA (253 nucleotides) under uncultured bacterium. RNAcentral's name for it is "partial 16S ribosomal RNA". It matches the Rfam family "Bacterial small subunit ribosomal RNA", at positions 524 to 776 of the family's 1533-position model. The record is from RNAcentral.
UACGUAGGGUGCAAGCGUUGUCCGGAAUUAUUGGGCGUAAAGAGCUCGUAGGCGGUUCGUCGCGUCGGCUGUGAAAUCCCGAGGCUCAACCUCGGGUCUGCAGUCGAUACGGGCGGACUGGAGUUCGGCGGGGGAGACUGGAAUUCCUGGUGUAGCGGUGAAAUGCGCAGAUAUCAGGAGGAACACCGGUGGCGAAGGCGGGUCUCUGGGCCGAUACUGACGCUGAGGAGCGAAAGCGUGGGGAGCGAACAGG